CAAGGAGACAACAAAAUGUUUAAUAUUAUUUUGUCACCUUAGGUCGAUCGGUAUCUCACGUUCUUUAUUUUUUAAGAAUUUCAUUUCCUAAGUUUUUCUAGGUCACACCCAUUAUUUUUCCUGGGCCAUUAGCUCAGGUGGUUAGAGCGCACCCCUGAUAAGGGUGAGGUCCCUGGUUCAAGUCCAGGAUGGCCCAUAUCUCUAUGUUGGGGGUAUAGCUCAGUUGGUAGAGCGCCUGCUUUGCAAGCAGGAUGUCAGCGGUUCGAGUCCGCUUACCUCCACUGAUUACCACCUCUUCCAUAAUCUGUAGAAAGGAAAUUUUUUGAGAUGUGAUCAAUUUCUGAACGAAUCUAGCUUCCUAGUAAAAUUAUUAAGAUGCUGGACUCAUUGAAUUAAUUUCAUUGUUUUCAGAGAACCUUGACAACUGCAUAGAUUAUUUUUAAAGACAAUAAGCAUCUUUAAUGAUGCAGAUUUAUUAUUUGUGCAAAUGCAUUAAUAACAAUUCUAUUAAGCUGAUGCUUCAAUUUUGAAGUUAUU
RNAcentral lists this transfer RNA (537 nucleotides) under uncultured Prochlorococcus sp. RNAcentral's name for it is "partial 16S-23S ribosomal RNA intergenic spacer". The stretch from base 209 to 281 matches the Rfam family "tRNA". The record is from RNAcentral. Lineage: Bacteria; Bacillati; Cyanobacteriota; Cyanophyceae; Synechococcales; Prochlorococcaceae.